GAUGAACGCUGGCGGCGUGCCUAAUACAUGCAAGUCGAGCGAACGGACGAGAAGCUUGCUUCUCUGAUGUUAGCGGCGGACGGGUGAGUAACACGUGGAUAACCUACCUAUAAGACUGGGAUAACUUCGGGAAACCGGAGCUAAUACCGGAUAAUAUUUUGAACCGCAUGGUUCAAAAGUGAAAGACGGUCUUGCUGUCACUUAUAGAUGGAUCCGCGCUGCAUUAGCUAGUUGGUAAGGUAACGGCUUACCAAGGCAACGAUGCAUAGCCGACCUGAGAGGGUGAUCGGCCACACUGGAACCGAGACACCGUCCAGACUCCUACGGGAGGCCGCAGUAGGGAAUCCUCCGCAAUGGGCGGAAGCCUGACGGAGCCACGGCGCGUGAGUUAUGGAAGGCCUCGGAUCGUAAAACUCUGUUAUUAGGGAAGAACAUAUGUGUAAGUAACUGUGCACAUCUUGACGGUACCUAAUCAGAAAGCCACGGCUAACUACGUG
This 497-nucleotide ribosomal RNA is filed under the name uncultured bacterium. RNAcentral describes it as "partial 16S ribosomal RNA". It matches the Rfam family "Bacterial small subunit ribosomal RNA", at positions 28 to 507 of the family's 1533-position model. The record is from RNAcentral.